Molecule: ribosomal RNA, 889 nt
Filed under: Rhodoglobus sp.
Lineage: Bacteria; Bacillati; Actinomycetota; Actinomycetes; Micrococcales; Microbacteriaceae
Description: bacterial SSU rRNA
Rfam family: Bacterial small subunit ribosomal RNA
Source: RNAcentral
AGUCGACGAUGAAGCUGGAGCUUGCUCUGGUGGAUUAUUGGCGAACGGGUGAGUAACACGUGAGUAACCUGCCCUUGACUCUGGAAUAAGCGUUGGAAACGACGUCUAAUACUGGAUACGAGCUUCAGCCGCAUGGCUAGGAGCUGGAAAGAAUUUCGGUCAAGGAUGGACUCUCGGCCUAUCACGUAGUUGGUGAGGUAAUGGCUCACCAAGCCUACGACGGGUAGCCGGCCUGAGAGGGUGACCGGCCACACUGGAACUGAGACACGGUCCGGACUCCUACGGGAGGCAGCAAUGGGGAAUAUUGCACAAUGGGCGCAAGCCUGAUGCAGCAACGCCGCGUGAGGGACGACGGCCUUCGGGUUGUAAACCUCUUUUAGUAGGGAAGAAGCGAUGUGCUUGUCACAUCAUGACGGUACCUGCAGAAAAAGCACCGGCUAACUACGUGCCAUCAGCCGCGGUAAUACGUAUGGUGCAAGCGUUAUCCGGAAUUAUUGGGCGUAAAGAGCUCGUACGCGGUUUGUCGCGUCUGCUGUGAAAACUGGAGGCUCAACCUCCAGCCUGCAGUGAGUACGGGCAGACUAAAGUGCGGUAGGGGAGAUUGGAAUUCCUGGUGUAACGGUGGAAUGCCCAAAUCUCAGGAGGAACACCAAUGGCGAAAGCCGAUCUCUGGGCCGUAACUGACGCUGACGAGCGAAAGCAUGGGGAGCCACAGGAUUGAUACCCUGGUAGCCAUGCCUAAACGUUGGGACUACAUGUAGGGGCAUUCCCCGUUUCUGUGUCUCAACUAAGCAUUAGUUCCCGCCUGGGGAUAAGCCGCAGGCUAUACUCAAAGGAUUGAAGCGGCCGCCCAUCGGCGGAGCUGCGGAUUAAUUCGAUGCAUUCUAAA